GACGAACGCUGGCGGCGUGCCUAAUACAUGCAAGUCGAGCGGACGAUUCGAAAGCUUGCUUUUGAAUCGUUAGCGGCGGACGGGUGAGUAACACGUGGGCAACCUGCCCUGUAGACGGGGAUAACACCGAGAAAUCGGUGCUAAUACCGGAUAACACGAAAUGUCGCAUGACGUUUCGUUGAAAGGCGGCGCAAGCUGCCGCUACAGGAUGGGCCCGCGGCGCAUUAGCUAGUUGGUGAGGUAACGGCUCACCAAGGCGACGAUGCGUAGCCGACCUGAGAGGGUGAUAGGCCACACUGGGACUGAGACACGGCCCAGACUCCUACGGGAGGCAGCAGUAGGGAAUCUUCCGCAAUGGACGAAAGUCUGACGGAGCAACGCCGCGUGAGCGAAGAAGGCCUUCGGGUCGUAAAGCUCUGUUGUUAGGGAAGAACAAGUAACGUAGUAACUGACGUUACUAUGACGGUACCUAACGAGAAAGCCACGGCUAACUACGU
RNAcentral lists this ribosomal RNA (497 nucleotides) under uncultured bacterium. RNAcentral describes it as "partial 16S ribosomal RNA". It matches the Rfam family "Bacterial small subunit ribosomal RNA", at positions 28 to 506 of the family's 1533-position model. The record is from RNAcentral.